RNAcentral lists this ribosomal RNA (403 nucleotides) under uncultured bacterium. RNAcentral's name for it is "partial 16S ribosomal RNA". It matches the Rfam family "Bacterial small subunit ribosomal RNA", at positions 28 to 526 of the family's 1533-position model. The record is from RNAcentral.
GACGAACGCUGGCGGCGUGCCUAAUACAUGCAAGUCGAACGCAGUGGGGACGGGUGAGUAACACGGGGGUAACCUACCAUCAGAGGGGAUAACACUUGGAAACAGGUGCUAAACGGAUAAUGAUGGAUGAACCCGCGGUGCAUUAGCUAGGUGGUGAGGUAACGGCGCCCCAAGGCCACGAUGAACAGCCGAACUGGGAGGGUGAUCCGCCACACUGUGACUGAGACACGGCCCAGACGCCUACGGGAGGCAGCAGUAGGGAAGCUUCGGCAAUGGACGAAAGUCUGACCGAGCAACGCCGCGUGAGUGAAGAAGGUUUUCGGAGCGUAAAACUCUGUUGUUAGAGAAGCGGUAUCUAACCAGAAAGCCACGGCUAACUACGUGCCAGCAGCCGCGGUAAUAC